CCCCCCCNCCCCCCCCCCCCCCGACUCCCCCGGGUUGAUGACAUACUUUUUGGUGCGUUCCCUGCGCCUACUCAAUAUUGUGCCGUUGAUUGUGUUGUUGCCGUGAGCUCUUAUUAGGUCGACAAUUGUCUGGCAUACGCGGCAUGCACCUUCUCUUGAUUCUUCUGCCGCAAGGGCCACUGCGGAUCUCACGAACAGCUGUUAACCCCUGGCGGGAGAUCUGGAUUUCCUUGGCAGAAGAGUGAAGUCUACUACUAUCUACUAGUUUCCUGUCUUCUGCUGUUGCCCUCCUGCGAAAAAAGGUUUCCUUUAUUUUACUUUAGUCCCCCUCUUUAUUCAUAACUACCUCAACCUAUAUUCAUGUUUUAUAAUACAAUUCUAAGCAUAGGCCAAGUGUCCCGAUUGAGCUCCUGACCAUCACUCCCAGCGGUUACAUUUGGAAGGACAAUUUCUUGAGCUUUCUUAUAUUAAGCGACCAUCAUGGGAACUUCUGAGUAGGCAGAUUUCAAGCAAUGAAGGCGGUUCUAAUUCACAUUAUUGGGAGAUAGACCAUCUAUCAGCAAUGUAACGAGGCUUACGCAACAGGGCGGCACAGCGAGAGAGCAAAAAACAGAAUUUUAUGGACCGAUCACUCUAAUUUCGUGUCAAAUUCAAUGUAUGGAAGUAUUAUUCAGGAAAUGAAUAAGAAUUAGGAUUUGGUAGGUUUUCCUCAAUUCUUCAGCGCUGAUAUGAAAACAAAUAAAUGGCCCUAUCCAAUCUUCCAGACAUACGGAUUCCAAUUUUGUUGCCAUCUUACAUGCGAAUCCUUCUUAAAAUAACUGUUUGUCAGUAUUUGUCUCAUUAAACUAUAAUUUGAAGAAUAUUUAUCAUUUCCUGCGUGCAACAGUUUCAACAAUGUGCUGGAUAUUGCUUAUGUCACGAACUUAAUCUAACAUUGAUCAGAAAAGCAAGAAAUGCAUACAAAUAACGGCACCUCAACAUUUUCAGUUAAUCUCUCGACAGUUUCUCAAUAAGUUUAAAUAAAACAACAAAACACAACAUGCUACAAUGUAUGGCACUAUAAAGAACAAAGGUGAUAGGAAGAAUCCGCAUAUGACAUCCACAGGUAUUUAUAUUUUGGUCGACUGAAGUUCAAAAUUCAACAAAUUAGCAACAUUUCCAUUUAGAGGUCUAUGCAACUGAAGGAGAUUAAAUCAGUACCUUUUACAAGAUCACUUUAGGAAAAAUUCUAUUAGGGAAAAAAUAUAAAAAUCAAUACACUAUAUGUCAGAACGUGAAGGACACUAAGAUGUACGCACAGUGGUUCGGCCUUUCUUUACCCUACAUGGGUUCUUACCCUUUGUUUUCACUAUUCUCAUUGAGAUAAUCAUUGGUGGAAUUCAAAAGAUUAAUAAAUCUUUUACACGUUAUAAUUCACAAGAUUACCUUCUCACACUAGAUACUGAGCCACUAUCUUUCCUUUCUACUUCCUGUUACUAACACUCCUGAGAGUUUCUUGCGUAAACAAUUAAGUUCAAAGAACUUAUAUCCCAGUCUAGAUGUUGAAAAGAUGAACCUCUUUAAUGUGAUAGGAAAUUGAUCGGUUGAGAAACCUUUGACGUGGCUUCACUUGCAUAAAGUUUUUGAAGAGAGAAUUAUAUUCUAUAUAUGUAUUAACUGAUCAUUAAAGCAUUAUUUUAAAUCAUUUUUCCUUAAAAAAGUGUGAAUAAUUUUCUCUGUUUAGUUCUAUUAAAAACAAAACUUAAUCUGAACAGUGACGGUUAUUUAUGGCACACUACUGCUCUGGCUAAUUUUGACAUAUCUUGCUCAGAUCACUUUUAUUAAAAGAAAUUAUUUUCUUUUUCUUAACAGUGUUUCGUAAUAAAAACAAUCCACUACAGAAAACUGUUUUCAUUAAGCCAUAUCAUGUGUAUUAUUUUUUUCAAUUCUGAAAAAUUGUGAAAAAAAUAUGUUUACACUGAAAACCAUUUUCCAAAAUACCGAACUUAUCAUAGCUUGUUGAAAACCAGAUUUUCUGAAUGAAUCUUGACUUCUGAUUAACAGCCUUUCAGAUUUCUAAACCUAUUUCAAUCUCCUGGAAUAUGGUUUUCCAGGUUUUUAGCUUAUUACAAUUACUUAGAAACUUGUUUUCAGAUUUUAUACUUCAGCAUACUUUAUCAAAAGUGUUGCAGAAAUUUGAAUUUAUCAUAGCAUCUGUCAAACCAGAUUGCUGAAAUUAUCUCAGUCUAUUAGAAAAAACCGUUUUUAAAAUUAUUUGUAUUGUUUAAAUAAUUUUUUUGAUAGAUUGCCGACUUUCUCACAGUUCGAUAGGAACCAUUAUUCUCAGAUUUCUGCAUUUAUCGCAAUUUUUUAAAAACAAGGUUUACAGACAUCUGAACUUAUUAACAACUUGUUGAAAACAGUUUUCAGGUUUCUAAGUUCUCAAGCCUCGACGUAAAACCAAUUGUUCGGAUUUAUAAAUUUAUAAGUUUGCAGGAAGCUCGUUAUAAAACUUCUGAAUUGAUAAAAAACUAUCGAAACCUAUAUUUUCAAGCUUGACUUCUUAAAAGUUUACUAGAAGUCCGUUUUAUAAACGUUUGCCAUUACAAUGUUCUGAGAAACCAGUUUUCAGACUUCUUAUUUCAUGACCAUUUGAUAAAAAACGGCUUUCUAGGAUUCUGAAUUCAUUGCUUCUUGCUGAGAAAUCAGUUUUCAUAAUUCUGAAUUUGUCAUAGGCCGCAAAAAACAUUUUUCAAGCCUUCUAAAUUUCUCGCAGUGUUGGAAAAAAAAUACUAAUCUCCUUCACUGAAAAAUUGAAAAUAAGUCAGUUGUACUAAAAAUAAAGUUCUGAUAUUUUAUCUCAUCACAGCCUAUACUAUAAAGGAUUUUUCCUGAUCUAUUAAUUCGUUAAAGUUUGCUGAAAAACUUGCUUCAGAUUUUUUUCAUGAAGUAUUGAAACAAGAAGCUUUAAAGAUUAAUAAAGUUAUUAUUAUUUUAUGAUAAAAACCAAGGUUUCCAGAUUUCUGAAUUUAUCACGAUUCCUUGAAAUAAGUUUUACCUUGUCUAAUUUAUCACAAUUUUCUGUAAAAAUAAUUUCGUAAUUUUCUGAAGCUGAUUUCUUAGACUGUCACAAUGUUUUCCCGGAACUGUCAAAGCUUUUCUGAGACUAGUCUUUUUAUACGGCUGAAAAAUUAUCACUUCACUUUCUAGAAAUAUUUUUGUACUACUGAAAGUUGUCGCACUGUUUCAAGAAACGAUUUUAACUUUUAAAACUAUGACUGUGUGGCGGGCGGUCGCGUAUGAAGAAGUGAGUGGCAGGCGGACGGUGGCUGAAGGACUGCGACUGUGCGACGGGCGGCCGCGUGUGAAGGCAGCGGCGGACGGCGGAGCUGAUAGAGGAAGGCGGCGGCGAUGGCGAUGGAUAACUGACCCUCACGGCCUCUCCUCGCGGAGCGAUAACCCUCAUAUCGUCUCCCUGAGUAGUCUCCCUUCUUUGGGCUAAAAGGUAUUUAUAACCACUAGGAUGGUUAAAAACUGAAAUAACUAUAGAAGGAAAUUAUGGCGUAAUGGGCUUGGGCCCACGUGCUGGUGACGUUGAGGUACCGCAACCCACGUCUCCCGGCUCGUCUUCGGUCCUUGGGAGUCACAGCUUGGGCGGCGUUCGAACGGAGCGGCGCCGGGUGAUCGAACUGGAAGAGGUGGAGGAAAGAGAAAAGGGCAAAGGAGAGCCGGCACUUUGGAUCUGAUUCAGCUCUAUGGAGGGCGGUGACGUCCAACAUCCCAGGAGACCAGGGCCCGUGGAGUCUCCUGGUUGCGGCAGCGUGCCAGAUGACGAAGAGCCGCCGUGUGCGGCCCCAAUAUCUGAUCCCGGAGAGGGUGGCGUGUCCGGGGGCCUCGCGAAGGCAAUAGCUUCGGUGCUUGGGGGAGUGCUAGAAGAUUAUGAUGCCAAGACGGAGGCUGUCACCAGGAGUCAAGACGUGCUCGGACUCUCCCUCGAUCGACUCACUGGAGGUACGCUUCCGGGACCCUCUGAUCAAAUUUUCUCCAAUACAUUUUUUUUCCGAUUUUAUCGUUUAAUCUGUUUUUACUGAAAAUUAGUGAGUCAAUUAUAAUACUUCUCCUAAAUAACUAUUUUCAACAACAUGUGCUUAAUUGAUAAAACCUACGUUCUGCUUACGGGCACUUCUAUGUAAUGAGUGACGAUUGAUGAUCAUGUGACACAUUUAUGAAUAUCACCGUUGAAUUUCUGUAUAUCAUUUUUACUGUUUACGAUAAAAUUAAGUCAUAAGUUCUAUUGCAUGGCAUGAUAUUGCAGAAUUAGACAAGCUUCUGGAGGAUGCACCCUUGCCUUUUAUUAUGCAACACGCUGCGAAAAUUUCAGGGAUUCGCAAGAGAAUUUUCGCGCUGAAUUCCAUGCUGAAGACAAUACAGAAGCGUAUUGAUAACAUGGACAUAAUCAUCUCUGCAGCUUCUCCUUUUGGUAAUAUUUCCAAAUAAUGACUUUGUAGAUGAUUCUAGUGGCUGAUCAUUUUCUAGUAAGUGAUGAAUGAGCCAAUUUUAUGUAAUUGAAACGCCAUUGAUUUCAUCAAUGGAUCUGUAUUUAUCGGUUGUCUAGCAUUGAAAUGAAGAAUAGACAUCCUCAUUGUGGAGCGGCUGUUAUCCUAUCGCGUCAUUUUUAUUUUUUUCUCAUUUUUCACUGGAUUAAAUUUUUAAUUGCUGAAAGUCCUGGAAACUAUUAAGAUCUUAAAAACUGCUUCUUCUUCCUGUACUUCUGCUUAAGAUGACAUCUUACCUGCAGCCGUGUCCGAGAAUCUGAGAGAGAAAAAUGAACUCGUGGUUUUGUCUUUUAUAAAGAGUAAGGGUUUAUUACUUGGUGAGGUUUCCAAUGUGCCUGUGUACGGAAUCUGAGGAAGUCAGCAUAACUUUUUUCUUAAAGGAGGGGGUGGAGAGCAUAGCCAUCCAGUAACAGUAUUUAAUGUGCUCAUAUUCUACUAAAAGUAAUGCUGGGAUUCAGCCAAAGCGUUGAAGAGGAUGGUUGACGGAGGAAUGUAGAGGAAAACAGUGAAGACCAAUAGGACCGGUUUCUUUAAUCAUGAGGCUGUGAAACCUAGUUUUUGGGAACUGUCAUUAAUGGAACAGGGAAACCAACUUGCCGAGGGUUUCUAACUUUCUUCCUUGAUAUGGUUUAUGUGAUAAUGAGAAGAGAAUUCGGACGUGUAUGCCCUCAGCUCCCUCUGCUUUCUGUGCCAGACUGAACCCACAUGAUGAGACCAAGGUUGACGGGUUUUAGGUUUCCUGGUUUAAUCAUCUCCCUUGGAAACAUGAGUCGCUAACUUUGGUUGUGUAUGCAUUGGAUCCACUUUGCACUCAGAGUGGGCAAUGUGCUGACUUAUGUACAAAUCCGCAUUGGUCAGUUAGCUGACGAGGUUACGAAGAAUUGUUCAGUUUUCUCUGAGCCAAUGGAAUGACCAAACUAUAAGGAAUAUGCCAAUUUGUGAAUGCAUGCUUCUUGUAUUUAAGCGAAGUUCAGCCAAUGCAUAGCUAGUUAUAUUUUGAUGUUUCUGCACCUAAAGAUGAUGCUUAUUUAACAAAGGGCACGCUUUACAUUUGUUUGUUAAACAUGAUGUCUGUUAGUUGAACUCCUUGAGAUUUGAGAGCUUUCUGAAUUUCCAUACUUCAUCAAAUGCUCUGAGUAUGUAUCGUCCAUUAAUGGCUUUUUCUCAGGGAGAGCAACAUCUGAUCCUAGGCUACAGGAAAGUUAAUCUUUUGCAACGUUAACUGCUGUUUUUGGCUCUUUUUAUAAUUCAUGAUAUGGCCCCCAUGUGGAUGUACAAAUGUUGAAUUAUAUAACAUGCAGCCAGAAUGAUCCAGUCAAUUUGACAUUUGUGAGGUGGAGUUAUUUUCUUUCCAUUAGGACCAUGAACCUCUGCCCAAAAAAACCAUCCAGUCCAACUCUUCAAUGAGUCAGUUAGGCCUAAUUCACAUGAGAGGUUUCUCCUUUCUCCUGCAAAGUCAUUUCCGAUAUAAAGUGGUAUUCUUCUUAGAGAAAUUCAAUGGUCAACCCCUUUCUUUCUCGACAUCUGGUAGCAAAUGUUUUCAUCUACGAAGGAUCUUUUGUUUCACAAGUACGGAUCAAUGCACUUCUUUAAUUUCCUAGACCCUUCAUAUUGGUAUUAAAUGUCAGAAGCACUAUUAUUGAUAUGAAACUAGUUGAGUAUGACGGUUCAUGUCUUCUCCAAGUUAUGGUCAAUUUUCAUUAGACUUUCAUAUCCAGAUAUUAGGUAGAGUUAAUUAGCAUGUAAAGCACAAUGCAGAAAAGUACGACUCCAGCAUUGAGAGAAAAGGACAUGCCAGAAACAUGAUGGGUGAAAAGGUCGUACAUGUGCAGACCAUUAUUGAUUGAAAGAAUAAGGCAUGGUGGAGAAAAGCCUGUAAAUAUAUGCGAAUAUUAAGAUAGAGAUGGCAGCUGCACGUCACAGGUAAAAGCUGCAAAAUUAAGAUGAAAAAGAAAAAAAAUCUCAUGGAAGGUUAUUUUCAGGGCAGAUAUACGCAGAUAUUAAUAGAAUCUGCGACAUUUUGGGAGUAUUUUGGCUGCUGGGUACUGCCCCAUCUCUCUCCCACCUCCUCUCUAGCACUUCUUGAGGAAGAAUCAGUGAAGGAUUGGCAGCCACCUACAACAUUUGGGCGACCUCGUCUCGGACAUUUAUUCUUCUCUUUUUCAAAAUUGAGAAAUAGGAAACUUUUGUUCCAAGGGUCAUGAUUUUCUUCCCCUCCUUGAUUAUUUCUAUUGCAUAACUUUUCUUUUCUACCUUCUGCAUGCCCUUGCACAGAAAUGAUUUGGCAACAAGAACUUAAGUCAAAGAUUAAUAAAAUAUAUAAUUGAUAUUACUGCGAGUUUAUUGCUUGAGAAAUAAAUAUGUAAUAAUUUAUGGUAACAUUUAUCUCUAAAGUUAGAGAUUUGAGGAUGUCUAAACGUGUUUGGGGGAGGGGGGGAGUCCAUAGAUUCAAUUGUAUUAAUCAAUGGAACGACAUCCAAUUUAUCAUGAGGAAAAAAAUCAUACAUUAGUAAUGAUGUUGCUGAAAUAAACACAAUAAAUCACAUAUAAUAGUAAACUAGUUGAUACAGGUAUGAUAGUUUAUCAAAUCAAAAGAUGAUUGAUUUAUAUCUACACAAAUUUUGGAGUGAUUCAGCUGGUAACUUAUCUACUAUCUUAAGUCUCAUCAAUAUCUUUGCUUUUACUAAUCUUCUAAAAAUACCAUUUGAUAUUCAUGGAUCUGGUCAUUCAAUAAUUAUCAAUACUAUCAAUUGCUCAAGCUCUUACAAAACUGACCAUCAGAUUUUAAACAGCCACUUUCCAAAAAGAUAUCUGCAUAUAAGUUUUGGAAUGAUUCAACAUGUAACUUAGCCAUCAAUAUCAUUUUGGUUUUACUAGCCUUCUAAAAUAUUACAGCCACUUGAUAUUCAUGGAUCUGGUCAAUCAAUAAUUAUUGAUACUAUGAAUUGCUCAAGCUAUUACAAAACUAAUCAUCAGCUUACUUUUAAAGAGUCACUACUUUGCCAACUUUCUCUGCUCUAACUUGUCAAAUAGUCCAUAAUUCCAUGAAACUUAUUACAAUGUAAGGCACAACAUAAUAUAUUUUAGGUGUUGGCAUUUAAAGACAAUAAUUUCUCUUCUCUGGUAGGAUUUUCAUCAAUGUCCUCAAAGGUAAGGGCCGUUUUUAGUUACCUUUCAUGCAAUAAAGUCAGUUGCUUGAAUGAAGGUUUUCAUUCUAAUUUUCCAGUAUGUGUAGUUUGAUUAACUAAAUAGUGGAAGCCUUUGAAUGGAGAGCCCUUGAGAAAAAGUGAUUUCUAGAGAUUUAGCCAUAUAUCUAGUCAACAUGUGUAAAUAUUUUAACUAGGGCAUGGUUUAAUGCUAAUUAUUAGUCCCAAGGUGCACCAAAUAGAAUAUGAGUUACAUUGAUUAUUUUAAGUACUUUCAUAUUUUUCUUUAUUUUUAGAUUUCCUUCCUUAGUUUUGUACUUAGUGGAUUGACACAAUUUGACUAGGGCUAGCAUAGAGUAGUUUUGGUGUGUUGACUUUAGAGCCUAAAUUAUAUCAUCAUCAGUUUACAUCAUGCUAAGUUGAAUAUUUUAUUAACCCUUGAAAAUAGCCCAUUGGUUGUAUUAUAGUGUUUAUUGAGCAUGUUAAAAAAAAAUAUUCACACAUAAUGAUUAACUUUGAUUCUUAUGUUGACACAUUAAUUAAUAAGGAGACAAUAGAGGACUCUUGGAAUGAUGCAAAAAUGAAAAAUUAUAAAAAAUGGGAAGUUAAGGAAAACUUUAUCCUCAACAUAGGUAACAAUGAACAAUAAAGAAAUCAAGACCAUUAGUAUAAAUUAAAGAACGAAAAAUGGGUAAAAAGGCACAACUUCAACGAACAUAUUCCCAAAUUGGAAGUUGGAUGAAUCAAGCCUCUAAGAAGUAUUUGACAUGAGAAUUUAUAAUGGUAAUUCAUUUCAUUUGUAGUGUGAAAUAAGUACCUUGUAUCUUUGUUGGUCCCUAAAGCUAGUAAUCUAGAUGGGAAGAGUGAGCCUCCAUUUUUCCCCAUAGCAUUGUUCAUUUGGAAGAAUUAUUCUUAUUUGAGUUGUGAGUUGACUAAAAUUAUUAAAUCUAUUGAAGGUAUCCUACACCUAUAAGUAUGAUUUCACUAAGGAUUUAGUUGAGCCUAAGGAUACUAUCUUCAAAUAGUGGAGUAGGCAAACUAGACCAAACCACUAUAAAUUUUUUUUGUGUGAGUAAAAUGUUACAUGAGUUUCAUGAAAAUGAGUUAUAAAUAUUGAAGGGAAAUUUUUUAAUAUUUUCUUAUUUUAAAUAAAUUUUAAUUAAUUUUCAUGAUUUAUUUCAGAUUAAAAUUUUUUAUCUAUUAUUUUAUAAAAUAAAUAAAUCAAUGAUUUUUUUAAAAAAAACUAUUAAGGGUGCUCUACAUUUAGUAGGCCCAUUGUAGGUUGGUGGGCCCAUUGCAUCUGAUAUUUGACAUUAGGUUCAAUGGGUUCACUAUUACACAGCCCAAGGAAGAAUUGUUGUUUCGAGGCUAGGAAGUAAGUCAUUCUAAAUCUCAUUGGGCCACUCAAGUCUCAAUCCAAGUCAGCCCUUGUGCCUAGCAAUGAAAUCCAAUUACCCAUUUAGGAAUGAAUACUUAAACUAUCAAAAGGCUUCUUACAUAUAACCAUGAAAAGUUCACCAAAACAACUAAUGUGGGACUUUAUAUUGUUUAUUUUGCAAAAUUUGAUUGUGACCAUUGGAUUGCAAUAUUUGCAUAAUGUAAUGUUCUAGAACGUGCCAUGUUACCCUUAAUCAAGUGGCAAAUCGAUAACAGUUUGAUCAUGAUAUAGACAAUUGAUAAAGCUCCUAUUUAUCACUAAAUAUUAGCUAAUAAUUCUAUGAAAAGUACUUCAAGGCACCAUAAUAUUCAUGAAUUGAUAGCUUUACAUGUUCAUGAGCUUCAUUCCUAAAAUGCACUGAGUUUGCCUUUAAAUUUUACUUCUUAGUUACAUCCAAUAUGGAGAAUUAUUUCUAACAAUUUUUCUAACCUUUUUCCUAGGAUUAUUACCUUGAGACGUUGAAAAAUUGUCUCAAGAACAAUCUCAAAAAAUUUCAUGAUUUUAUCGCUUUAGAUUGAUUUAACAUGGAAUUUACACUAAGGAGAAUACAUAAUAUAAUGAAGUCAAUGCUUGAAGAAGUCAACAGUUGAGAUGUCAUAAUUCCUAGUCAAAGAACGACUUCAAGUCAAAGAGUGGAAAAAAGAGGACCAUGUUCAAGGUUCAACACACCCUAGUGGAGGAAGAAGAAAGUUAAUUAGGAUUUUCCUCUCCCUUUAUUGAAUUCUAGUCUUUCUCCUUCUCAUUCUCUUUCUCCUUCUCAUUCUCGUUCUCUUCCUCUUUCUCUUUUUGUCAAAUUCCGUGGAGUUGAGGGAGGCUAUAAAUACCCUUUCACGACCACAAAAUUGGGGGUACCCCUCUACUGUCUUUUGAGGGUUCUUUUCCUGAAAUUAGAGGGAGUGAAAUCCCAAUCGUUCUUCCAACAUAUUCUUCCAUUCCUUUUUGUGGCAUUAUUACAAGUUCUUUUGGUUCUUACAAUUUCCAGAAAAUUUGAGGUAAGAGUACACCCUUUCCUAGGUUAAAUCUCGAUCUCUACUAAUCCAAAUAGUGACAUCUUGGAUUAAAAGAGAGAUCUAGGUCAGUUUUACUUCAGAAAUUACAAUUUCAAAAUCUCCUUUUCUGAGUUUCAUCAAUUCUAGUUCAUGUUCUUCCAUGUUCUUCAAUUUUCAAUUUAAGUGAAGUAGAUUCAAUAAAUAUAGAACGACCUCAAGAUGAUUUCGAAUUCAGUAUAUAAAUACUUCAUCUCUAUUAACCUCAAAAUAGUUUCCAAUCAAAAUUAAUCAACUCUCAACCUUCUGCCACGAAUUCCUCUUCUUCCCUUCCCAUUUCUCGGUAAAUGAACAUUUCUCUUAUUUCCCCAAUGAAUUUUGCGGUUCUCUGAUUUUCUGUUAUUCCGUAUGAAUGUCUUUUUGGAUUUAGAAUCAUUCUAACUUCAUUUCAUUCUUUUUUAGAUUCCGUUUGAAUUCAUUUAACUUGUUUCAUAUAUGAACACUCUAUUUUAGAUUCAUCGCAAUGUUUUGCAUCAUGAAGUGAUUUAUUGUAUUAAUUCUUUUCAUAAAAUGUUCUAAAUAGAUAUAGGAACAAUCAUUGCAUACCUAAGAUCAAUUUUUACUCUUGGAAACUUACGUUUUGAUUUUUUUUAGAUAACAAUAGUGAGAGAAUCAAGCACUAUACUCUGUUUUGGUGAACCGCCAUCAUCCCUUCAUCUCAACUCUCAUAAAAAAAAAUAUUCAUAAAAAUUCGAAGUAAUUACCUCUUAAUUCCUUGAGGAUCAAACUGAACUCCCCAAUAUAUUAAAUUUAGUAACUCAUAUUUGGAAGUCAGUUUAUAAAUUUUAUUUGAUUAACCACUAAUCCUAACGACAAUUUUUGGUUUAUCAACAAUCAAUUAUCUUAGUUUUUUUCAGAAGUGUCAUGCACUCUCUAGACAUAAAAUCAAAUUUGAUAUGGCUCACACCACUACGAUUCGGCAACUUUUAGAGCACAACAUACAUCAAGUGCUAGUGAUAGAUCUAACAAUACACAAUAGAUUGAUUGGACAAUGGAGAAAGUGUCAUGUGAGUAUACACUUGAGUUUCGAUGAGGCAUAUCAACCAUUACGAUUAUUUGUUGGUUAAAUAGGCAAUGUCAAUUAUUGUAGGUUAAAUAAAAUAAUGGAGAGUUUGCUGAUAGUAGAUAUUUUGUCUUCUCUCCUUGCACUCAAUCAAAAUCUUAGGCAAUUACAAACCCUCUUCUUAACUUUCUCAACUACACUUAGGGCCUCCAACGAGCGGCCACAAGUAUUCCAUCCCUCCCCAAGUGAUGAUGACAACAACAUUGACCCUUCAUUUCGCAUAAUCCUUCUGAUAGCAACAUAGAGCCGUUGUACAAUCUUCAUGUGUCUUUUGACAUAGUACGACAGAAACAAACAAUACAAAAGCCACCACAUCAGUGUCUCUUAUUACUUCAAAGGUAGACCCAUCAGAGGACACUAUUAGUUUUAGAUUUAAUUUAUAUUUUAUUUGAUUUUUUUCAUGAAUGAUAAUAUCUAGAUGUUUGUUAGAAAUAAUCCGAAGAACUCAUUGAAAACUUAAUCAAAAUCAUUACUUUAUACCCUAGAUCUUUGGCAACUCAUCUCAAAAUAUUAUGGGCGAUUUUGAAUCAUUUUAUAAUGAUUUUGACCAAGAAAUCUAGCGAAAAAUCCUUGCCUUUUCUAGGACUACAGAUCAAUUUUAUGGCGAUUUUUAGUGAUUUUUCUCCUAUUUUCUAAAAAUUUGGUGAUUUUUUUAUUUUAUUAUGAAUGUCUAAUCUUAAAAAUUGGUGCAAAACUGAUUUGGCCAUUUUUCAAUGUGAUUUUACACCUUUUUUGUGAGUUCUCUCUCACAUAUUUGUUUGAAAAUUGUAGUCAAUGUGGCACAAGAUGUGCUGACCUAUGAUUUUCUCUCUCCUAAUUAUCAUCUUUAUUCUUUAUCUCUCAAUCCCUUAUUCUCUCUCCUAUUUCCACCUAAAACUCAUCUAAAAUUCCAAAUCCCACAUCUAUCUCCCUUAAUUCUUCCUUUUGACUCCCUUCAAAAUAUGAUGUGUGUGUGUGUGUGUAUAUAUAUAUAUACUCCCCUUUUCUAUCUCAUAUUCCUUUCAAAAUCUCAUUUCUACCCCCUAAUUUUCUCCAUAAAAUUUCCUUCUCUUUUAUUAUUCUUUUAAGAGAAUAAUAUGAGAGAAAUCAUAUUUUAUUAUUAUUCAUAUUUAUGUUGUAUUUAAAUAAAUAAAACUAUAAACUUAUUAACAAUCUAAAAUUACUUAGAAAACUAAAAUAAAAAUUUAUAUGGAUGACAUAUUAUUCUUACUCCCUAUGACUUGAGAUUCAUUGCUUUACUAAAUUUUAGAUUAGUUUCAGUUAUAAAUAUUAUUAGAUAGUAGGUAUUCGACAACAAUGGCAAAUAACUAUCAUUAACUCGUGCUACCAUAUCUUAUUUGACAUGGUCUACACAAUCUAGUUGGGACAAUGUUCUUGAAUGGGGAAGAAUCGUCACGAUGAAGGAGAUUGCAUGAGAAGAAGCAAAUUAAAGAUGUUUUCACUAGAUGACUCGUAGGAGGUGAGAAGGGCCCUUACUCCAUCUCACACAGUUUACUACUAUCGGCCUUGUAGGCUAUAUGGAGUUAAGACACUCAAUUGACCUAGGUUAAAUGGCACAUUGUCUUGGAAUGUAUUAAAUAAAUAUUUAUUAUCAUUCUACUCCUCAAAUUAGGUCUAAUUAUCAAAGGUUCUUAUCACUACUUUCUAUUAUUCUCUUUUGAGGUAUUAUAAAUUGUUGAAAUUUUUAUUACAUCAUAUGAUACUAAGAGACGAGGAAGUAAAUUAGUUUUCACUCUAAAUUUGUGAGAUAUUCAGACUUCAAGAGUUGAUUAAGAUUUUUACUCGCACAAGUCUCUACAUGAUCACCUCUACUCUCUUAAGGAUUGUAUCUUUGGGUGGGUUCAACUACAUCUUUAGUGAAAUAUUCACUUUUUUAAGAAUUAAGUCAUCCUCACAUGACUAACUACUUCAACCAACUCAAGAUUUCAUUUACAAAUCUUCCUUUAGAUUCACAACUAUUGAAGAUUAAAUCACAUAAUAAAUCAUGUGAAGAUGAGUAUCAAUUGUAAAUUAAAAUAUAAGGUAUAAUGAGUUAUAACCCUUUUUGUUUAAGCUCCUAACUUGUUGGAAGAUUGACUCAAUUGAUUUCGCAUUUUAGAAUCUACUUCAUAAAGAAUAUACAUUCUUAAAAUAUUCUCAUUUUUUUAUUUUUUUAUGAUUUUUGAACCCAUCUAAUGGUCCAAAAUUACUCUAUUCACAAAGGCCAUGUUGGUUCCUUGAUAGGCUGAAAUGUAAGCCAAGAAAGGGAGUGAAUUGGUUUCCUAGUGUGUUUUAACAUUUUUUUCAUGAUUUUUAGUAAUUUAGUAAGUUUCAAUCAACACAUGAUUUAGUGGGUGAACACAUAAUACUAUGUAUUAACAAUAAUGAUUGGAUUGGUCGACAUACUAAGUAGACAUAUCAAUGAUUAGAUGAGAUAUAAUAAUUUUUUGAUAAAUUAAUUACUAGAUAAGUCAACACACAAGUUGAGCUGGCAGACUAACACACUAAUUAAGUUUAUAUGAUAGUUCAUAUCACAGAAAGAUUUAUAGUGUUUAAGUCUUUUCCUAGCCUAGAUUUACUUUCCAAGGCACACAGAUUUAAUCAUAAAAAAUUAACAUUAUAAAAAGCAUUCAUAUAAAAAUAAUACAAUAUUAUUUUGAUAAAUCAUUUUCUCAUUGAGUAGGCACAUAUUUUUCUAUAUGUUUCUCCUCAUUUUUGUCAAGUUCAAAAAGGGCACAUGGUGAAAGCAAACAAGAAGACAAAUGCAUGCUCACUCAAUUUGAAUAUUCUUCUUGUCACUUUAUCUUCAAUGAUCUUCACCUAGCCUUCUAUUCAAUUAAAAAAAGCUUUGUAGAGGUAAAGGCCUCUUGGAUGAGAGGAAGGGAGAAUGGGGCUAAAAAGGGGCAAUGGGACUGAUGAGAGUAGGAUGAUUAGACUAAGUACCCUAAAAAACUAGAAUAACACAAAACCUAUCUAUCAUUAUCAAGAAUAUAGUCCAUCUUAAUGAGAAUACGUUCUAUGUCAAUCAAUGAGGUCUUGAGAAUGACUAGAUACAUGUUACUUAUAAUUGAGAUCUACCCCAAAGUGUAGGAGAAGUUGCAAACAAUGAGAACUUGGAUAAAGUAGUGGGUCUCCUAAAAUUAUUCCUCAUUUUUUUCACCAUGAUGGAAUUGAGGUUAGUUUCAAAUCCAAUGAAGAAAACUGUGAAGUAGGAAUAUUAUAUUCUCAUAUAGGUAGUAAAAGACGUCAUUUAAAUAUAAUAGUCAUGAGAUAUUAACAGAUAAAUUAGAUGUCAAGGAAAAGUUUUAUAACUCUGAUAAUUGUGUAGUUAAAAACAACUUUGACAAUAAUAGAGGUUAGGAGUUUUGGAAUAGUCUAUUUGCCAAAGUAUGUUAUACUUUAGUGGGAGAUAUGAAGAAUCAAGCUUAUUAAGAAUUUUCUUGAUAAUCUUUUGAUAUCCAUUAAUUUUCUUGUAAAAAACUCUAUUUGACAUUGAAGCAUUUAAUUUUAGAGACUUUAGAAUCAUAUACCUACAUAAAAUUCAAUGAGUUUAAGGAAACUAUGAUGUGCAAUGUUAAUGACAAUUGGCUUAGUGCCAAAGCAAUAAUCAAAGGUGUUGGCUGAUCUAUUCCUUUUCAGUAUUGUUAAAUUAUGUAAAAUACUAAAAUAAUAAUAAUCAUUAAUAUUUAUAUGUAAUGUAUAUGAAAGUUUUGGAACUACUUGUUGUACUUGUUUAAACUUGGGCACAUCAUUUUUAAGUUAUUUGAUUUAAUAAAAAUAACUUAAACAAUAAUUUAGAAGAGUAAAAUUCUCAUUGAGUUGUUAACUAAAAGAAGAUUAAAUUUUAAUUGAAACAAUAAAUUGAAGAUAUUAUCUAUAAAUUUUUGCUAUGUGCAUAAAUAACAACAUCAAGGGUGUCCAUUGAGAAAAGUGUUAGGUUAUGACUCACACUAGGAUUAAGAAGUGGGGGUUUAAUUGAUAUUUUGGUCUAAUAUAGUUUAUUUCAAUGUUUUUAACUUUUCUUUCUCCUAAUGAUUCAUAUUCUCUUAUUAGUAGAUAUAAGAUUGAUAAACUUUUAUAAUGGUUCAACAUGCUAUCUACACCCACUCAUCAAACAUAACUUCGUUCUUAGCUUCUACUAACCAUAAUUGUUUGAUCACACACUACUAAUUAUUGGGUUCAACUUGUACAUAACCUCACUCUAGAAUUAUCUUCUAUAUUCACCACACUAUGAGAUCAAUAGUUGUUUAAAGGAAUAACUCAUAUGAGUAAUUAAAUAAUUUAAUCACAUGUUUAUUCCUCAAUUUUAUGAAUUUGACUAUAGGUGGUGUUCUAGAUAUUAUGUAAAGUUUGAAUAUUUCUAGUUUUUUAAUAAAAAGGAUGAUGUUUGUUGACUUUUAAGUCAUUGUUCUCUUUUUGUUGAGUUGACGUUUAAUAAAGAGAAUGAUUCUUAAGCUUCAAACAAGUCAAAGAGGAUUUUUUUUAUCUAACAAUUUCUUCAAAAUAAUGAAUUUACAUUGUUUUAUUUACUAGCACAAACCUCUAUAUUUUUUUAUUGAAUUUAUUACAAGAAUACUUAAUUUAAAGUUGGAGGCCUUGAGAAAAAAAUGAUAAUCAUUCCUUGUUAUUAUGGUUCCUAUAAAAUAGACAAAUUUAUAGAAAAUUUUUAUAAAAAUAUUCCCUUCUCCACUAUUUUUCAACAGCUAUUUUCUCUAAAAUGAGAUUAAUUUAAAUAGUUGAGAAAGUAAUACAAUAUGCCAUUUAAAGAGUGCUAACGUCACCAUAAGAAAUAACUACAUGAUUCUUUUAUCACUUAACGUUCAUAUAUAAAUUUUAUUGCCACAUUUUAAUUUAUUAAGGAUUCAAUAUUUUAAGACCAUGAUUGAUAAAACAUAUUUCAUUAAAAUGAUGAUAAAACAAUCAAAGUUGAUCUAAAUUAUGUUAAAUAAAUUGUGAUAUCCUAAAAGACAUCUCGAUAGAUGAUCUCAAUAUAUCAAAUCAUGAUUUAAGUGAUUCAAAUAAUAAAUAAAAUUUUCAAUAUGUAUUCAAUAUUAUCUGAAAAAUAUUUUUUUGACAUAAAUAUGAUGUCUUAAUGUACUAUUUUAAUUUGAUGUCAUUUAUAACUAAAUUUUGUAUUCCCAUAUUUUAUUUCAUGAGAUCUUACUAAUUUGAAUGUCUCAAUCAUUCCUGUUCUUAUGAUGGUAACUUCUACAAAUAUUUGUGAUUUUCACAACAAUAUAAAAAUUAAUAAAUAAUUAUUUAUAUUUUUACUCAAUGUGACUAAAUUAAUAUCAUGGGUCACGAAUGUACUUUUUAAGUCCUCAUAAAAUUUACUAAAAUUAUUUAAAAUUUUAUGUAAGUAAUUUAAGAUUCUAUCUCAUGUCAUGUAUGUUCUGAAUUGGAUAUAAUUUGAUCUUAAUCUUGCCAGCAUCAAAAUGUUAUAUAUAUAUAUAUAUAUAUAUAUAAUACNNNNNNNNNNNNNNNNNNNNUAUAUAUAUAUAUAUAUAUAUAUAUAAUACUGCAUUAAAGAGUAUGACCAUAGAGAUGAUACAGGAUACUCUUCCAUUUUCAAAAUAUUUAUGAAUUAUAGUUUUUUCUAUUUUAUUUUUUCACUAAUUUAAAUACGUCCGAACUAAACUUAAAAGGACAUCAAAAAGGCAUAUCUUCUUUGCUAGAUUUAUACGCCAUAUUUCUCCUCAAAUAAAUCUGCACCACACUACUCUCUCUCUCUCUCUCUCUCUCUCUCUCUCUUCUCAUAUUUAAAUUCAAGAAGAGUCCGCUUUGAUCGUAGGAUCUCAGCUGGCGGGAUCGGUUGCUAGAGUGAUCGGCGCAGGAGAUAUCAACUUCGGGUUCAUCAACAUCAGCCACACGUACGACCAGAUCACGCAUGGCGGCGAGCUCCUCAGCCUCUGGCAGCUGUAGAGCUCCUACAGCCGUCCAGGUCCUGUCUGAGCUUCAACAGGAAAGACAGAGCCUCCUCCAUGUCCGGCCUGGCUUCGGCUUUGUGCCGUGUGCAGCACAGGGCCAGCUCCAGGAGCUCCAUCGCCACCUCCGCCUCCCCGCCGUCCAGGAGCUCCAGUUCUGGGUCGAGGACGCCGAGCACCGCCUUCCCUCGGCCGCCAACCGCAUUCGCCACGAACUCCGUCAAGGUGAGGGGAUGACCACCCUCUUCCAUUCCUCCCGUCGGCCUUCUCCUGGUGAGGAGCUCCAUGACGACGACACCGAAGCUGUAGACGUCCACCUUCGGGGUAGCCUUCCUCAUAUACGCGAACUCUGAGACAGAGAAGGAGAGAUCAGAAAUCGCAGAUGAGUUAGACGUAUAGCAGACAGACAGACCCCAGCGGAUAUGCUGCCGCUACCCGGAGCCAUGUAGCCAAUGGUGCCUCGGAAUACGGAGGAGGAGGAAAUGGCGUCGCCGCCGUCUUGGGGAAGAUGGACGCCGAGCAUGCGGGCGGUUCCAAAAUCGCCCACGCGAGCUUCCCAGUCCCGGUCGAGGAGGAUGUUGGAGGGCUUGAGGUCGCAGUGGACGAUGGGGAAGUCGUAGCCCGAGUGCAGAUAGGCGAGGCCAUUCGCCACGCUGGUGCAAACCCUCAACCUCUCCGACAACGUCCACCGCGACCGAUCCAGGAGAGGGUCGUGGAUGAUCCUCUCUAGGCUCCCGUUCUCCAUGAAUUCCAGGGCUAGGGCUUUCAGCCUCCCGGAUUCCCAGGCAUAGCCCACCAUCUUGACCAGAUUCCGGUGCCUCAGAUGGCACAGAGUCUUCAGCUCCGUCAGGAAGCACUUAUCGGUCUCAGAGGGGAACUGCUGCAGGUUGAGCUUCUUCACAGCGACGACCAUUCCGCUGCCUUCUUCGAGCCUUCCCUUGUAGACGGUACUCAGAUGGCUGCUCCCGAUCACGUUCUCUUCGUUGAAGAAAUCAGUAGCGAGUUCCAUAUCCCUCCGCGUGAAUCUCUUCAAGCCUGGCGCCGCCGACGGUAACUCUGGUCCGACAUCCUUGAUGGGUUCUUCUUCCGGUCUCCGCCUCCGGCGCCUGGUUAUGCAGAGUGUCGCGAGAGCCAAGAGCAGAAGGGCAGCUAGAGAGAGAAACAAGACGACCACCAAGAAGGCCUUCUUCAAGAAACGAUUACGACGUUUGCUGUUGCUGCACGGUACCAGAAAGCUCGCUCCACAGAGAGCGGAGUUUCCUUCCAAGCUCGUUGGCUGCAAGUGCCGGAAUAUUCCCCCAUGUGGGACGGGUCCCCGAAGCUGAUUCCACGAGACGUUAAGGUAUCUCAGGCCGGAAAUUUUGGCCAGCCCCUGGGGGAUUCUCCCGCUGAAGUCAUUAUGGGAAAGAUCGAGAGAGAUAAGAUGCUUGAGUUCUGCAAGAUCAGCAGGGAGGUCUCCUCCCAGUUUGUUCAUCGAAAUGUUCAGGCUAGACAGCGAGCCGAGCUGAGGGAAGAUACCGGGAGGAAACUGACCUGAGAGCAUAUUUGCAGAGAGAUCCAGAGAAACGAGGUUCCUACAUCCCCCUAGUGUCUGUGGAAUAUGCCCAGAGAGAUUGUUGUGCGACAGAUCGACGGUCUGUGCCAUGUUCAAUACCCCCAGCUCGUCCGGAAUAGAACCUUCAAGAAAAUUAUUGGACAGAUCAAGAAGCAUCUGCAUGCUCCUCAUACCGGCCACCAUUGACCCAAGAAUAGAUCCAGUGAGCUCAUUGUGAGACAGAUCUACCGACAAGAGCCGCUUGAGACUGCCCAAGCUUCUUGGAAUAGAACCACUGAGCAUGUUCCCGUGAAGAUCCAGGUAGGAGAGCAUCUGGAGGUUCGAAAUGGCGUCCGGGAUCGAUCCGGUAAACCUGUUCAGCUGCAACUCAAGGGUGUUAAGCUGCUUCAACUCGAAGAUUCCCUCAUGGAGCAACCCGUCCAGAGAAUUCUUCUGAACAGAGAGCCCCAGGAGGUUCGACAGCUUCGAUAUUUCCGAAGGGAUCUGACCAACAAAGUUGUUUCCCCCAAGCUCCAAAGUCAGCAGCAUCGAUAAAUUCCCAAUAUCGGGCGGAAUCCUCCCAGAGAACGAAUUCAUAUGCAGUCUCAGCCGCCGUAGACUGGCCAGUCUGCCAAUACCAGAUUUCAGAUGCCCAUUGAAACCAUUCCGUGCCAAAUCCAAGGUUGCAAGAUUAGAGCAAUUGAAUAGGUCGUCUGGCAUAUCCCCAGACAUGAAGUUUCCUCCGACAGAAAAGAAUGUGAGAUUCCGCAGGCCGCCCAGGCCCACUGGAAUCUUCCCUGUAAAUCUGUUUCCAGAGAAGCUUACUAUAGCGAGAUGGGAGCAAUUGAUGAUGCUGGGUGGUAAUGGGCCUUCGAGGGCGUUGUCGUGGAUGAUGAGCUGCUCUAAUCUGGAAAGCGAUCCCAAGCUUGUGGGAAUAUAGCCUGUCAGAUUGUUAGAGCUCAGCGACAAGUAGAUCAAGUCGGACAGCUUUACCAAGGAUGAAGGGAUGCUUCCUGUCAACUGGUUCGAGUGAAGGGUGAGACUUCGAAGCGCGCCCAGGAAACCGAGCUCCGGUGGUAUGCUUCCGAUCAGCUUAUUCCUGGAUAGGCCUAGAUGGGUCAACGACCUGCAGUAGGAUAACGAAGCAGGGAUCGUUGACGACAGCCUGUUGUCAGACACCCGCAGAAUUUCCAGGUUUACCAGUUGCCCGAGCUGGGGGGGAAGACGACCCGUAAGACUGUUGCUGUAGAGCAUCAGAAGAGUGAGAUUUCUGCAAUGCCCAAGCUCCGGAGGGAUCUGACCGAAAAACUGGUUCAGAUGAAGUUGCAGAGUGGACAGUCUUGAGAAGUUUCCGAUCUCGGGAGGAAUCACCCCAGACAACUGAUUUUCGCUCAGGUCCAGUAUUUUCACGAGCCUCAGGCUCCAGAACGAGGUGGGUAUGGAUCCGUACAACUGAUUGCUGUAAGCAACAAGUAUCUCUAGGUUAACGAGAUUACCCAUGCUCGACGGGAUGGGGCCGGUGAGGUUAUUAGAGUUGAGGCCAAGGGCAAACAAGGAAGAACAGUUGCAGAUGCUGUCAGGAAUGGCGCCAUUGAAGAAGUUGUCCCCCAAGUCCAAGACUUUGACCUUCUUCAGAUUCCCCAGCUGGGGGCUAACCGGGCCUGAGAGACGAUUCUGGGGAACCAACAGCUCAACCAGUUCCGAACAGAGCCCGAGCUCAGCUGGGAGAGAACCGAAGAGCGCAUUGGAUGAGAGGUCGAGGUACUGGAGAGUGGAGAUGUUCCCGAGAUAAGGGGAGAUCGUGCCGCCGAGCUGAGACUCGAAGAGAGAUAUCGAGAGGACGGAGGUGUUCGAAGGAUCGCAGGAGACGCCAUGCCAGCUGCAAUGGUGAGUUGCAGGAGCCCAGCUCGCCAGUGCCCCCAAGGGGUCUUCAACAAUGGAGUCCCUGAAGGCCAUUAGAGCUUCCAGUUGGGCAUCGCCCCGAGUCCGAACAGACUCAGGAAGGAUGGGGAAGAAGAGCAGGAACAGGGAGAAGAUGAAGCUCGGCAAAAAUGCCAUCGCUCCCUGCUAAAAUGCUCGGCUAAGGUGGUGAUGAUUUUAAAGGCAUUGGAGACGACGACAGGAACGUAAGAAGGCGACGACGAACAACACAAUGCGUCCGCAAACUCGGACGGUACCCGUGAAAUGCCGCCCCUACUAAUAGACGGAGGUUGAAACAAAACAAGGGUAUCCACACUACGCCAUUUUGACUCGGGGAAAUCCUUGGACUUUGACCUUUCGGCGAUGAGAAUCUGGAUAAGAUCGGCCCAGCCAAACGCGGCGUAAUCAUCUCUCACUCUGUCAUCUUAGUCAGCGCCAGAUUCUCCAGUCCCUUGGCAAUCCCAGUCGCUGAGAAGUGCGGGGCUUUCAACCAUCAACAGUCCUAACUAGGCCCCACACGUACUGUUUCUUAUGGGAGCAGACGGAUGUGAGAGAUUCCGACCUCCGAAGAAGGUGAUAGAGGAAUGGUCUGGUCAACUGCUGGAGCACGUGGAAACUGGCAGCGGAAUGGACGCGCAGGUUUGAAUGGAACCCGGCGGAGCCAACGGGAAUAAUCCACCAGCCGGGACCCCGUGGAAUUGCCCUCAAAAAGUUGACACGACGAUUUCCACUAAGAAAAUAUCUUCUCGAAUAUCGCCACCUCCUCAAAUAGACAAUUACAGGAAUAAUAAUAGAGCUUCUUGUGAAAAUGGUAAGAACAUCCAGUCGAUUAUUCUUCUGACUGUCUAAUGAUGCAUUUAUAGAUGAUGUCACCAGUUGACCAAUAUCUCUCGCUUUUUGGCUUAUGCCCCCGUUUGAAUAAUAACCGCACAAUUCUAUGCGUCCCGACUAGGGUACCUAAGUAGGGUAUUAUGGAUUUUUUUUCCAGGAAUUUAGUUAUUGUUAGCUUGUGUUUUUCUCUUUUAUUCUAAGAAGAAAGAAGUAAUAAGACAAGCGACUAUAGUAUCCUAAAGCAACUCAUAGCCACAAGAGUUCACAAAAUAAAUCUAUACAUAUUUAUCCUCCUCUAUUUUAUUACUUUUAGUACUUAAGCAUGCCUAAAGCCCCAAAUGUAUAUAUAGUUUAACAUUAAUCAAUUUUGCAACAGAAAGUUUGAAUCUAGAACUGUUUGGCAUUGAGAACCUUGAUUUUUUUAGUGAUGACAAAAAAGGUAAUGCAUUAAUAGAUGGAUGAUAAAUUUAUGUUACCUUCACAAUGCAAAUCCUUAUAAAUUAAAUCAAAUGAUUCAACUUUAAUAAAUUUGAUCCAGGGAAAAUGGUCCAUAUUCAUAUUCCCGGGGAGAAUAUUAUUUUUUGAUUCAAUAAAGAACGCAUCAAAGGUUAGAUAUUUUGAAUUCUUAUGAUUUUCACUAGAUUAAGGAAAUAUAUAUGAAGUUUGAAUUUCAAGCCAGGACUUGACCCAAAAUGGAAAAUUAUCCAAUUAUUGUAAUGACUAUUGGAGGGCUCAAUAUACCACAUAUAAAAUGGGAAUUUUAGGUUACUAUAAAAUUUGAGCAAAAUAGAAGGGGCAUUUGUCUUUUUCUUUCAAAGAGUUCAAGGCUGAGACCUACCUCUUUGAGUGGUAAAAAAGAAAUAAACUAGUUGUGAUGAAGCCUCCAUUAAGUUCAUCUUAUAUCAAUUACUUUCUCAACUAACUAUGAGAAAUUUAAGCAAUGAAAACUAUGGGCUGAAUGUGUGAGAAUGUUGAGUUAUUCUUAAUUUUAUCCUUAAGUUUGUUGAAAUCAAAAAAAUUCAAAAUUUAUGAUUCCCAAUACUUAUAUAUUCAAUAUUUAGUUCUUAGAGCUGUAUGAUGCAAAACAUUGGCUCAUUAAGGCCUAGAUAUUUGAUUGUUGGUCUUUUGAGUCAUAGGAAUGAAUAUCGAGGUUCAUUAAGGCCUAUCUAUUCAAUGGACCCUACUUAAGUAGGUCAUUUAGUGUGUUUCACUUGUAGAGUAAUAGAAGCCAAUACUUAGUCAUUAAAUAAUAGAGUAGAUUGAUCAAAAUAUUGUAAGUUGUUACAUGUGAAUAUUCAUUACUUUUUUCCAUUGGCUGAUAAAUAAAGAGAAAAAGAAAAUAGUUAAUGCUUCUUCCCCUUGGAUUAUGGUAAUGCCUAAGCUAAAUUAACAAACACUAUGGUUAGGUUGAAUCUCAAAUUUUAAUUCAUGGAUUGUUGAUGUAGCCCAAAUUAUCCUAUUAAAAAAAAUAUUUUUGACCUAAGUGGUUGAUGCAUUCCAUUUAAGGUCCAACAAAAGAUUAACAACAAUGUCUAUAUCAUCGAUUUACUUGAGACCAUAGGGAUAUCAUGCAUGAUCAAUCUGAUACAUUUAUAGAGUAUUUUUCACAAGUAGUUCUCAAGGGAGUUCUUUUGAAGAACGGGAAAAUAAUACAACCAACAUAACAUGUAUAUCAAGUGGAGCAGGACCCUACAAACUUGAAGAUAAAAGAUUUUCUAUUUUUAGAAAAUUCCUUAUUUAUACUCUUUCUAUUUUUAGAAAUUUUAUUUUAUUUUUAGAACUCUCCUUAUUUAGACCCUUUUCAUUUUUAAACUAUCUUCUAUAUUUAGUAUUUUCUGUUUUAAGCCACCUUUCAUAGCUAGCCCUUUCUAUUUUAGGUCACCUUUCAUAUUUAAUUAUUUAUAGUUUAGGCUACCUUCCAUAUUAGCCAUUUCUAUAGCUAGCCCUCUCUAUUCUAGAUCACCCUCUAUUUUAGAUCACUCUCUACUUUUAGGCACCUCUUAUUUUAUCCCACCUUAUUUGCUAGGUUAUUUAUGUUUCCUAUUUAAUUCUAUUUUAGGUCUCUUGCUAUUCUUAUUAUUUUUAUUUUUUAAUUUCCUUGUAUUUUUAUUUUUAAAAAAAUUAAAAUGUUGAUGCCAUUUUCAUUUACUACAACCUCAAUAAAGACAUCUCAUGUAGAAUGAGAGCACAAUCAAAAUUUUUAUGUCAAUCUAUUUCGGUGUUACUUCUUUUCUAGAAGCUCUUUAUCUCUAAUAGUGGAUUCUAAUACGCUAUGUGGACUUAGUGGAUUUAUCUAAUCUUUUGAACUCAAGAUCACCACUUUUGGACUCAAGAUAAAAUAUUUUCAACAGAAAUCAAGUUUUUUUGUGGAUUCAGAAAUAAGAUCUCAAUUGUCUUCAACUCGAGUUACAUUGAAUUGUCUCUUCAUAAACUCAAUAUUUAUGUUGCACAAAUAGUAAAUGCUUCUUCUUUUCACCUGAUCAGCCCUAGUUAUUGGAGCUUAAGAACUUGACCCCUGAGAGAGGUGAGUAGGACAAGUCACCCAAAUUAUUAUCAUUUUUUUAACAAUUUCACUAAACCAAAAAUUACAUAAAAGUUCAAAAAAAUUCAACUAUUUCGAGCAUAUGCUUCUUGGCUCCAAUUUUAGGAAAUCUUUAAUUAUGAGGAGACUAAUUUAAAUUGGUAGGGAAGGUUUCCACAUUGAAAUGUGAGAAAAUUGGUAGCCAAAAUUUUUUACAUUUCAAAUUAACUCAACUAAGUGAUGGACCAUGAAUUGACACAUUUGUAGAAGCACAAGGUCAACAGUAGUAUUAAUAGUAUAAAGGGCUAACGGGCAAACAUUGAUAUAUAAUGUCAUAUGUAGAAACUAGAAUGUGCAAUGUAGGCUUUCCAUUAAGAACUUAAAGAAGGGUACUAAGAGUUCAAAUAGCAUAUUACAUACAAAAAUGCAUGUCUGCGUGAUCUCCCUCUCUCUCUCUCUCNNNNNNNNNNNNNNNNNNNNCUCUCUCUCUCUCUCUCUCUCUCUCUCUCUCUCUCUCUCUCUCUCUCUCUCUCUCUCUCUCUCUCUGUGUGUUCAAAAAGUAGGCCCAUUUCUCGUGGAGAAAUGGGCCUGCUUUUGAAGCCAUAACCGAACUGCAGUGGGAAGAGGCCACUCUCCGAACUGAGGCCCAACAAGAAACCUAAGCCUUAGGGACUGUGGGAAACCCUAGAUCCCCAUCACCAGUCCUUGUGCAGCAGCGCCUAUAAAUUCUACCGCCGCCGACCGCUGAUCUGCUGUUCUGUUCCGUUUACAUGCGCCCCCGGGAGGUUCUCUGCGGCGUCUUCCCCUUCUCGCUCAUCCCAUUAUCUCGUAUGUCAACUCCGGCGCCGGCGGUCAGAUCACCUGGCCCGGGCUUCUCGCGAAUGUGAUAAUUUGUGAAGGCUGCCUUGGUCAUAUGGCCCCGUAGUCGAGAUCGACGGAGCGGUGCCUGAUAGGCAGUAUGAAGUGAUUUAUCCGAACGUGUUUUCUUGCAUGUUUGUUCUCGUCUCUCGGUAUGUCUUCGUUUUUUUCGCUGUGUUUUCCCAUUCGAUUUGAACUUCAAAUGGAAAGUUUACUUCGAAUGUUUGUUAUCGAAUCCCUUACCUUGUUUGGUGUCCGCGACCUCCAUUUUCAUUUCGAUUACCAUAGGAACUGUUGCCUACAAUGGAUGUCUUUCCAUCCGUGCGGACGAUAACCGACCGAAGUUUCUUCCGAUCCAACGCAUUUUCUCGUUAAGUGUGGCUAGAUCUGUCGCGGCCUGUAUUUUCAUUUUUCUGAUUGAAGGAAAAAUUUCAUCACAGCGCAAUCCGUGAUGAAGUAUCAGAUACUGCUGAAGUGCGAUGAUUAUUUCUACAUAAAUCACCAUCUUUCGGCUGAGAUUGCACAAAAGUUGAGGCUCGUCGUGAUUCGAUCCUUUUUCGUGUUCUUGUUUCACACCAUUCGGUUCGGUUUUGUGCAGUUAAUUACUAACAGGGGAUCAUGCGGUGAGGACUCCGGAAAAUUCAAGCUCAACAGACCGUAUUGCAGGCCUCGAUUUAGUCGGGGUUUGCAUGGCGACAUUCCCGCUGAGCUGAGCAUUAAUCUCCUUAAAUUAAUUCUCCAGAUUUCGAUUUCUCGUAAAGACAUCUGGCCGCGUCUUCCAUUACAUUCCGAAUGUUUUUAAGAGCAUCUGUAGUUCUAUGGGGCGCCGAACGGAUUGCAAUGAGGAUAACAAGCUCCCUCUUCUGACCACCAGCUGAGGACAUCCGCAGGCAGAAUCGAACCAUUACUACUUCGCCACCACUGAGCAAUCCAUUCGCGCAUUCGACCCAGAACCACCGAUUUCUUAUUUCUAAUUUUCCAUUUCGUUUUGGAAAUCAUCGCAAGGCGUACCUUGAUUUGAUUUGAGCCCGUCAAUGCCGCUGAUCUGGAUGAAGGUUCUUCGUUGUUCCGGGGGGGUUUUUCCUAUCAGUGGGUGGCCAUAAUCUCUCCCACUGGUGAAUUAAUUAAAUACCAUGAAUUACAUCAUCGUCAUCUCGUAAUAUUCAACUCAAAAUAAUGUUCCGUCACAGUGUCGAUGAAGAAAACAAUGUCAUAGUGGUCUGCCAUUUCUGCCGCUAGAUUGUUAUCACAGUGAUGCGAAGAUGAGCGGUGGCUGGGAAGCCCUCAAAACCCUGUGUUCCAAGGAGCGUGGGUGUCCGGCAUCUCAUAGUGCCUCAUCUUGAACAUCUUAACCCGUUAAGUCAUCAAGAUCCAUACAUACGCAGAGAACUGGUCGGGUCAAGAAGAUUAUGGAAUGACGGUGGUGCGCGGUUGUAGGAGCUCGCCGCCGUCGGCCGCCUCGAGCCGCCUGAGCCAAUGCAGGCCCAGAUCGCAGCCGGCGUCCGCGGCCCUUCUGAACUGCUCCCUCGCCAUCUCCGCCGGCGGCACCUCGGCGCCUCCCCUCCUCCCCAGCUUCCCGUCGAACUUCCUCACCGCAUCGGGGGCCUCCGCGCCUGCCGACCCCGCCAUAGAAUAAAAUCAGCGACCCACCGAACAACCGAGUUCACCGGCGGCCACCACCGCCCGCGGGCAGCGGCUUACCCCUCAGCAGCAGCGCCCCGUACGCAAUCGCCGCGCCGGCGUGCCCCUGCAGCACGGAUUCCGGCAACGGGUCAGUCAUGCGGAGGGGGGGGGAGGGGGGCGUCAGUGCCCUGUGGCGGAGCGGAGGGAGGGAUUAAUUAGUAUCAAUGGUGGAGCGGACCUUUGUGGAAGCUCUGUAGAAGCACCACAUGGCCGAGGCAACAUCUUUCUGGACGCAGUCCCCCGCCAGGAACACCGAGCCGAGCAGAUACAGCGCCGCCGGAUGCAACUGGAGAGGAGGGUCAGGCAGGCGGCGCCGUCAGGGCGGCGGAGGAACAUCAACGGCAGCUAGCCUGCCGGCGAGGGAGGGGCGUACCUGGUCUACCGCCUUUUCUAUGUAGUAGAAGGCCUGCUGAUCCGAUCGGACGUUCUCGUUCUACAAGCUCCCAGCCGCCACCAACACCGAUGAUACCUACAUUGAAGACUUCAAAAGCCCACGAGAUGAAUAGAAAAAACGAAUGGGGAGAACCACAAGAGCCUGACCUGAACCCGCAGAUGGCAGCCAAGCUCAUACUGCGCAUCCGGAUCGCCCAUGUUUGCAGCUUCCACGAGUAAAGCAGCUCCUCUGCAAGAUCAAGGAUCAAACCAGCAAACUCAACAAGGAUCAACCCAUGUUGGUUUGUCAAUAACGCGCAUAGGCUAUAAAUUUACAAAGAAAAACCGACGAAAAAUGCAACGAUCAAGGGGAAAAUACUCCGCGAGGCGCGUAUACAGACGAUCAAUGGGAGGAAGGGAAGAUGAAGACAGAGGCCAAUCAGAUGGCCCCGUCAGCUCUAGAGAAACAAGAAGAGCUUGUUCUCCCCUAAACACAACGUCUUUCCCAUUAUCAUAUCACGGUUCAAGUCACUGUUCCUUGCAUUAUCUACCCUAAUAGCUGCACUUUUCGGACGACAAUACCAUUCUUGCCGUCCGCCGAUUUCUUCCUGCAAAUCUCCCCACUUGAUUUUAGCACGGGUAGGAAUGGUACUGUAGACAUAAUGCAGCAAGUCUGGGGAAAUCCCUGAAAUGAGCAGGCUUCCAUUUGAUGCAAUGCCAUGAUUUGAAACUCUCUCCUCCAGGGGAGCAUUGGGCAUUCGCUCAUCUUCCCCGAGAAACAGUCAUACCCAGGAUCGGACGGGUAAAAUGCUGAAAAUUUAUUGUCAUGCUCAAAGAAAAAUUAAUACUGGGCAGGAGUCGGACGCUCACACAGCUUUGCAGGCCCCCGGGACAUGAUACUUGAAAUGGAGCUUGGACAGCCAAUAUCUUGCGUGGGUGUUCAUGUUGUCGACCUCCAGAGCCAAUUCGAAGUUCUCCUUCGCCGUCUAGAUCACGCGACAGCGUGAAAUAAAACAAGGAACGGUGCUUUCAAGCCCAGAGAACCGCAGGCCCUCCGAAAGGAGAAUAAAAGCUUGAAGAAAGAUCAGCUAGGAACAUGAAGAACAGCGGAAUUGCGGCGGGACUUUCUCGAGCAGCAUGCCCUUGUUCCUCUUUUUUUUUUCUCUGAGGAAGAAGUCCUACUAUAAUUGAUAAUCAGCUUACUCUUAGAAGAGGUAUGAGCCGAGGAUCCCUGAGUUCUGUGUAGUCGAUGACCCUGUCCACUUCGCGAAGAGCGCUCCAUCCCCGGGCGAUGAACUCCAUGGCCUUCUUGUUCCGGCUAUGUAUCCCCCUCUGCGAGAACAGACCAAGCAAUUCACAGAUUGGAAAUACAAAAUAAGGCUGAGGGUUGCUUGUUACGGCCUCCUCGUCGGGGAAACGCCUUGGAAGACUCAAACGGUGAGCGCCGAAUGCGAGGGAUAACCUGGGGAUUCGACAGAGGAAACGCCCUUUCCCAUCGCGGUGAAGCUGCAGCCCUUGACAACAGCCGCAGCAUUGGCGCCCGCCCCCCGCCGGCUCUGAUCCCCUCACAGCCCCGCCUUCCGCGUUCGGAAGGCAAAAACCUCGUGCCGGCGGUGAAUUUCGAGGGCGAUAGAAUCCAGGACCUCAAACGAGACCCCCCCGACGAUUAUCUACUGGGCGUGAAUCAAAACAGCUCCUUCGGCGCACCCGAACUAAUUAGUAAUAAAGAUAUUAGCUUGUUGUUAUAAUUAUUGUUUUAAUCCUCUCUCUCUCUCUCUNUNUNUUCUCUCUCUCUCUCUCUCUCUCUCUCUCUCUCUCUCUCUNNNNNNNNNNNNNNNNNNNNNNNNNNNNNNNNNNNNNNNNNNNNNNNNNNNNNNNNNNNNNNNNNNNNNNNNNNNNNNNNNNNNNNNNNNNNNNNNNNNNNNNNNNNNNNNNNNNNNNNNNNNNNNNNNNNNNNNNNNNNNNNNNNNNNNNNNNNNNNNNNNNNNNNNNNNNNNNNNNNNNNNNNNNNNNNNNNNNNNNNNNNNNNNNNNNNNNNNNNNNNNNNNNNNNNNNNNNNNNNNNNNNNNNNNNNNNNNNNNNNNNNNNNNNNNNNNNNNNNNNNNNNNNNNNNNNNNNNNNNNNNNNNNNNNNNNNNNNNNNNNNNNNNNNNNNNNNNNNNNNNNNNNNNNCUCUCUCUCUCUCUCUUCUCUCUCUCUCUCUCUCUCUCUCUCUCUGAGCUUUCUGAUUCUCUUGACAUCGGCGAUCACCACCUGCUCGGCCUCCUCGAAAGCACAGAACAGAAGGGGCUCCUCAAUCCCCCCACAGGGAACGCAACGGGUAGCCAAGGAAUGGCAUCCUCCAACUCACAGAAAACGAGUACUCGUGUGUAUAACAGACGGGAGAGUUCCCAAGAAACAGAGCUACUCCUCAUCAAGACCUCUCCUCUCUCUACACCAUCAACCUCUCCCGUCACCCGCUUCCGUGAGAGAAGGAAAAGGCAUCCUCAGAAAUUGGUUAUGAGUAAUUCAGAUCAAUCUUGAUGAUGCAGGCGUCAGAAACCAGUGAUUUCUCCGGGCAUCGGCGCCAACUCGGUCCUCCCGAACCUCUCCUCGUCGUAGAACGAGGCUUUCACCACCCGUCCGCCGAAGAACCGCCCGUCAAGAUCGACAAAGGCCUUGGUCGUCUCCUCGGGUCUCUCGAACUGCACGAAGAUCCUCACCGCCUCGUCGUGGGGGAAGUUCGUCUCUGUGAUCUCAAAGAUCAGCACGCGGGUCACCACCCCGUACUUGGAGCACUCCGAGGCCACCUCGUCCUCCAGUUCAUCAUCGACCUCCCCCGGCCCGACCUGGAGAAGAGAGACGACCGGGGUUAUGCACAAGGGGCGUAUUGAUUUCUUCGCACUUCCUGACGAUCGGAUCUCACGAACAAGGAAAUACGAAUCGCCCAGGUCUGGCUGUUGGUUGAUUGGUCUCAAAACCCAAGAACACAUGCAGAACAACACCAAAGGGCAGGCACAACAUUAUAAAUCUCCGGUGCAUAGAAAACAAGAAGAUAUCAAAUGACUUAUGACUCUCUCUGGAAAGGAGCUAGUAAGCGCGCCGACAAAACUGGCACGUGUCCCGAGAGGAUCAAGAUAUGCCGCCUAAGCAACAAAGUCAGACCCUUUCUUUUUAAUCGGGGCACUGGAAAGAUAGGAGUAAAACGUCGGAAAGGUAUAACAGCUAUCAACAAAUGUUCAGAAAAAGAUGUUGGCCAUUCCGACCGCAAGAUCCUUGGCAUCGGUACCCAACUAAAAGUAAAAAGGCCAGACUUUUAUCUGGGAAUCCCAGGUUACCUGCCUCGAGUCUAAAUAGAAGAACAGAAAUUUAAGAUGCGCCUCUGCCUCUACUCUUUUCCAAGUAAAUAAGUAGAGGUGCGGACAUAAUAAUCCCUCCUUUUCUUUCUUUUUUCCCACAAACAAACGUGGUGCGAGUUCCCCUUUGCCUUGACACGAGAUAUCGGGUUGCCCCUUGGAGGCCACACCCAUGGACUCGAUAUCAAUCAAACCCAAAUCAGACAAGAGAGGUGGGGGUGUCCGUAAACUAUCCGGGCGACAUCUUUCAAGGCCUGAAGCCCUAAUUCCGCAUUGUUCUUAAUUACUGAGAAACAGUUUAUUUCCGAAAUCAGUCCAAAUUAUUCGUCGUAAAUCCCCAGAGCCAGUUAACCCCUACACUUGAAUGCACAUUAGAAGCCAUCAACCAAGGCUGAGGGACCCGGAAAACAAUCAAUUGACUAUCGACCAUACCAGAACAACCAGAAACAUUUACCCCUGAUAUUUUUGAACGAUGACAACAGAAUAUGAUCUGAAAUAGUCCUGGGAAGAGUCUGAGAAAAUUUUUGCAUGAAUGCAGUGGGUACCAAAAGUCUAUCCAGACAAUGAUAGAUGAUAUUUGAAUGAAAAUGAGGCCACUUAAAUUUAUGCUUGGGAAAGGGAAGUCGACCAAAAACAACACCGUCACCAAAUUUGGAUGGCAAAACCCCAUCCUUAUAACGUUUCUUAUGAAUGAACAGGGCCAGAACAUGCAGCGCGGACCCGCUCAGAGCUACAAGGGAUGGCAUGUUGGUCACUAGCAGUGUUCAGGGGUGUCAGGUAGCAGUAAAGGGCAACCGGCAACAGCACCCAGUGAACUUAUUUUUCCUCCUCUACUAUUAUGUAUUGAAGCGAACCACACAUCCACAUUCUUCAUCAAUAGCAGCACUGUUGUUGGAAAGUAGCUGAUUCAUGUAACACUAGAUCGUUCCAUAAAAUUGUCAAACUUUCCACAAUAAACCGAUUUCAAGUCAACUCAGUCUAAAUUGGACGAUUGUUUAACACCUAAUUGAAGACAGGGACUACCACUUCAACUAAAGUCUGCUGCCCAUCCUGGGAACCAGUCUUUACCUAUAAACCGUAAUUUAUCCACCCUUUCUAAUGUCCAAUUUGGGCACACAAUAGUAGGUUUCUACCACCUUCAAAAGCAUGCAUACAUUCACAAUGGUCGAGAUAAGUUUCAAACUUUCAGACUUCCAUUCAUUGACCUCUCUUCAGGCAACAAGAGUAGCCAGACCUACAGGUAGCAAACUAAAAGCAGCAUCUUAACUGGGAUCAAGCACAAAAGUCAGACUGAGAUAUAAGGAAGCAAUUCACACCAUAACAAACUUAAUUUGGAUCUAAGAUUAGGGUAGGUAGGUAACCCCAAAAGAUGCUGCUUUGGAGAGGUCCUCCAAAAAUAAAUUCCUGUAUCCAAAUAGACCUAGAUCGGUGAAUGUUCCUUUUAGACCUAGAUCGGUGUUUUCAUGGGCCUAAACUGACAAGUUCAGUUCCUUUUUGGUUGUAUCCUGCAUAGAGCCAUGCACCAACAAUGUUUUCCGAGUCAUACAUGAUUUCAUGAAUAUUUAAAAACAUGUUUUCAGGAAGAUAGUAUGGCUCCCGUUGGUUACAUUAAAACACAAAUCCGAAAAAAUUACUAAAAUUUCGAUUUUAUACAGAUAUUUUCAAAACUCUAAGAGCAGAACAGAAUUCCAACUCGUGUAACCCUAGUGCGUUGAUUUAAAUUGUUAAACGUCACCUUACAUCAAUACGUUAUUUGGAGAGAAGGGUAUAUCUUCGAAUACUGUCUUCUCAAGACAACAAACUAGAACAGGUAAAAAUCACAUAAGCCUAGCAUAAAAACAAUGCAAUUAGAAAUAACUUCCUAAUCAAAAUUAGGCUCAGACUACCAGAUGGUUUGCACACAGUAUGCUAGUUUCCAAGCCAGGCACAUGGAUGUAGGAAAAAGUGAUAGUACGAAACUAACCUUUCUCACGGAACGGACUACAAUGCAAACUAAGUUGACACAAAUAAGUGACUGAAAAAUUCUCUGUUUGGUGCGGUGCAUUUUAUGUGUGUGGCAGGAUAUUAUCACAUUUACGGUUCAAAUUUUACAUAUAACCUAAAAAUACAGAGGGAUUACGAGUGUACCAAAAAAAACAUCAUUCGGACCUAUAUAAGGAGGAGCUGCUAAAAGACUAGGUGGAUAAAAGACUAAGGAACGAAUUACGCACUCAUUAAGAACCAAAAAAAUCAAGAUGCAUACCAUGUUUCUAAGAAGCAGGACACGUGUAGGUGGGCCAUUGAAGUUGACAUUCUUUGGUUUCUUCUCUGGUUUCGUUUCACUGGCAUUGACAAUAACUCCGGCUCUCCUAUCUGUCUUUUUAGCCAUUAAUGGCGUUGUAAUUCCCUGUUCCUGCUUGCCAAGCCCCUGGCCUUCCUUCCAGCCCAUCUUUGCCAUCAUCCUCUGAGCAGCUGUCAUCUGCCCACCAGCACCAAGUCCUAGACCAUCAGAUCCUGACUUUCCAAUGGUGAAACCUUCUCCUGUGGAUGGUGGAGAAGGUGACCUUGGUGGUGCACCACCACUCAAUGCAGCUCGUCUUUUCCAAGCUUCUUCACCUGAGAUAUUCAGUGAAGAAGAUCUCGACUCUUGAUCCUUUGCGUCCCUUUCAGCUGCUUCCCUUUCCCUCUGCUCACGUUCUCGCUCUCUCUCCUCUUCUUCCCGACGCCGAUUGUCAAGCUCCCUACGUAUAGCAGCUUCCUUCGCCUUCCUGGCUCUUUCCCUCCUGUAGUCUUCAUAAUCAUUCGGCCUUGCGGGAUCAUACUCUUCGACUAUGGUAGAUGUCACCCCGACAAGUGCUGGUUGGAACAAUGGACUUUUUGUACCCCCGUUUUCAGAUGAUGCGGGAGUCAAAACAGACGAACUCGCAGCUUUUACAGUCGGUGCGGGAGCAGGUUUUGCCUUGCUUUGUGACUGCUGGUUUUUCAAUACAGAUGGUGGCGUUGAAAACAUUGACGAAGGUUUCCUCAAAGUGGGCGGCGCCAUCUUGGUGCUGCUCGACCACACAGCUGAGUUAUUUCCACUCUUCUCAUCAGCUGCAUUGGAUGACGAGGACGGGGGAGGGAGGUCCCCGUACAAUCCACCCAGCAUCCUCGCUUCUUCUCAGGGAAAGCCAAUUUAGCAAAGGGGCAGCGCUCCUCAGGAGACAAGCGUCAAUAAACCCGACGCUUCUUCACCGGCGAUAUGCCUGCGGAUCCAAGUAAACCUCCUAGUCUUCCUCACGCGCAAUCGACGCAGGGAGACAUGCAGUGAUCUAAGUCAGGGCUUUUCUAGCAAGUGGUGCUGAAGGAGAAGAAACGCAUCGGCGCAUGAACACCGAAAACACCAACGACUGUCUUUUCUUGAAAUCCAAACCCUAAAGAUGAGAACUAGCGUCCGCUCACUACCUCCGCUCGAUCAGAUUUCCGUAAAACUAACACGCAUCUCAGGCAUAAGGACGACUACCUGCAAAAAAUUCAAAACCCCCGAGGAGCCCAAUGACGGAAAACCCUUGUGACCGUCGAGAGAAAGAUCAAACGCCAGAUACGAAUGAGAAGACUGUUGGAAAACCAGAAAAUCACACGAAAAAACUUCUUGAGAGCCCUCCAUAAUCGGACAGAGCCGAAGAAACAUGCCGACUGGGAUAUCCACGGAAUCGAAGGCAAAAAAGUAGGCCCACCUAGGGUGCUCCGGCCCUCUUCUUCCUUCUUCCCCGGCUCCUCGGCACUGCUGUAGAAUAACCUGGGCUAAUGGAGAGGGAAGGAGAGUUGAAGGGUUGCGGAGAUUAAGGCAGGGGAACGAACCGAUUCGGAUCUAGAAACGAGUCAGGUAGGCUGCCUAGACCCAAUUUGGAUCCGUAAUUGCUAUCGGUAUCUCCUCGGUAGGAAUCCCCACUCCCGUCGCGUUAUAAUAAAUAUUAUAAAUAUAUAUAUGAUGUAAAAUGAAUAAUUGUUCAAUUGAAUAAAUUCGGAAAUACGAUCAUUUUAUUUGAAAAUACAAUGCCAACGUCAAAUAUCAAACACGCUGAGUAAUACGUGAUGAAUAAUGAAAAUUCAGUAAAAAUAAUAUUUUUUUCCUCACCGCGCCUGACCUCGAUCUGGGCGUCAUAAAAAUAAAUAGACUAACGUAGAUCAUCUCGAGGGUAAAUAAGAUACUUUAAAGUUAUGUGAAGUAAAAAAUGGUUGAUAUUACUGUAAUUAUAAGAAAGUUUGUUCUUAUUAUGCUUCAAAUGACCUAAAAAAAAAA
Molecule: long non-coding RNA, 34445 nt
Filed under: Spirodela polyrhiza (greater duckweed)
Lineage: Eukaryota; Viridiplantae; Streptophyta; Magnoliopsida; Alismatales; Araceae
Source: RNAcentral